GGCAAUUAAAUUUACAAUCUGAAAGUCAUAAUAAUAAUAAAAAAGAAAAUCAGCUCAUCAUUCUUAUGACAAUAACAUGGCUAUCCCAGUUACACAUGUACUAUGGUUUUACCAUAUUCCUGCAUAUUCAAGCAGUAAAGUUAUACCUUUUGUACUCAAUUACAGAAAAUGGUAAUACUGUAGAACCUUGGAACUCGAACACCUCUUAACUCGACCAACUUCAACAUUAAAUGGGCUUGUUGAAUUUUUUUCGACUUGUACCUUUACGAAAUUCUUGGAACUAUACAGUUCCUGGUAAAACUUGUAUGGGUGGAGACGUGUUCAACUUUACCAAUUCAGACCUCAAAUGGGUCGGUCGAGAAACAUCUAACUGCGACUAGACAGAAAACUCGGAACACGAAAUAAAACAGACCUGCUAAAACUUGUACGGAUCAAGACACAUCUCUCCUUCCAAACAAUAACCCCUCCAUUCUUCCUCCUUUCCACCUACCACUUCCAGUAUGCCAUCAGCUCACCUCAAUGAAGAUGGGCCGGCCGCUCCACGAUGGGAUGCGCUUCCCCGCCUCCUGCUGGGACCGCUGUUACGGGAGACGGAAGGCGUGACAACCAACUCACCCUCACACUUGAGGCCCUGCCGGACAAGACCCCACAGCAUCUCACCGCAGUCGUCGCAGAAGGCGGGCGCCUUAUAGGAGUGGACGUACAGCGCAUGGGGGCGGAUCUUGAAAUCUUCGACAGUAGCUAGAGCUAAAACAGUUAAUCUGCAGAUGUGGAACCUGUGGAUACGGAGGGCCGAGUGCAUGUCUGGAGGAGUGAAGAAAGAGGCCAUCACUCUACAGUGACACCCACAGAUGUGCAUUAUUCACACGCUCAGCUGGCAGCCUGGUCCCGAGCCCAUGGUGUCCAUUACCUGCACACACCGCGUUCCGCUGACAGACACAGACGCAGCAGUAUGCUGUCUAAGCUUUAAGGUCUGAACACUACACCUCAAGGUGUCAGUAUCUCCAUCUAUCUGGGCAGACGAGUGCCUAACCCGUUUAAAAUGAGGACUGGCGGAAACCAGAGCCGUGCCACAGCUGGGAGCAGGUCAUGCUGGGUAACUGAAGCAAACCGCUUACCCCCUGCGCACCAGAAGUGACAAGCGGCCGGCAUAUCACUGCAAUCACUGAACACCGCCUUCCAGAAACCACGGGAAAUAUAAUGUUUCUUAAACUCCCCUAAGCACAACGUGGAGGCCUUUGUGAGGCUCAUAAUAGAGAACAGAUAUGGCUCUCAGUCAGUGAUGGAUAUUUAGACAGGGGAUGCUGAGAGGAAUAUGUGGCGCCAAACUGCAAAGUCAGGGUGCAAUGAGGUCAUCUAUCCAUCCAUCCAUCCAACAGAAAAUUACAGUGGGGGAUGGCUGGAGCCUACCCUAGGCAGCACAGGGUACUCUGAGCACAAAGACACAGAUACACACACACACACACACACACACACACACACAUUGUUCAUACAUUUCUAUGGGCAUAACCCUAAUCCAUCCAUUUUCUAUAACUGCCUGCCUGUCACAGAGGGUCCAGAGCCAAUACCGGAGGCUACAGGUGCAAGAGAGGGAAUAACCCUGGUUUGGAUGCCAAGCCAUCGCAGGACGCAAACCCUAAUCCUAACUAUGAUAACCCCAACCCUCACCAAACCGUAACCUUUACCAUAAGUAACCAAACAAAAUACAAGACUUUUUUAGUUUUUUUAUUGCUUGCAUAGAUUUUUAUAAAAUAAGUUUCCCUUUCU
Molecule: long non-coding RNA, 1767 nt
Organism: Brienomyrus brachyistius
Lineage: Eukaryota; Metazoa; Chordata; Actinopteri; Osteoglossiformes; Mormyridae
Exons: 4
Source: RefSeq, a predicted model, not a curated record